This 503-nucleotide ribosomal RNA is filed under the name uncultured bacterium. RNAcentral describes it as "bacterial SSU rRNA". It matches the Rfam family "Bacterial small subunit ribosomal RNA", at positions 15 to 507 of the family's 1533-position model. The record is from RNAcentral.
GAUCAUGGCUCAGAGUGAACGCUGGCGGCAGGCCUAAUACAUGCAAGUCGAACGGCAGCACAGCAGAGCUUGCUCUGUGGGUGGCGAGUGGCGGACGGGUGAGGAAUACAUGGGAAUCUGCCCAGUCGUGGGGGAUAACGUAGGGAAACUUACGCUAAUACCGCAUGCGCCCUUCGGGGGAAAGCCGGGGACCUUCGGGCCUGGCGCGAUUGGAUGAGCCCAUGUCGGAUUAGCUAGUUGGCGGGGUAAUGGCCCACCAAGGCGACGAUCCGUAGCUGGUCUGAGAGGAUGAUCAGCCACACUGGAACUGAGACACGGUCCAGACUCCUACGGGAGGCAGCAGUAGGGAAUAUUGGACAAUGGGCGCAAGCCUGAUCCAGCCAUGCCGCGUGAGUGAAGAAGGCCCUCGGGUUGUAAAGCUCUUUUGUCCGGAAAGAAAAGCGCCGGGUUAAUACCCUGGUGUCCUGACGGUACCGGAAGAAUAAGCACCGGCUAACUUCGUG